CAGAUAGUAGUUUAUACAAAACAUGAAAUUUGGAGAUUCAAGAAUCCAGUCUGA
Molecule: transfer RNA, 54 nt
Filed under: Trichuris sp. GHL-2013
Lineage: Eukaryota; Metazoa; Nematoda; Enoplea; Trichinellida; Trichuridae
Description: tRNA-Pro
Source: RNAcentral